Molecule: non-coding RNA, 2529 nt
Organism: Taeniopygia guttata (zebra finch)
Lineage: Eukaryota; Metazoa; Chordata; Aves; Passeriformes; Estrildidae
Source: RefSeq, a predicted model, not a curated record
GCAGCAGGAUGAAAUGUGUUUGUGCAUGCCCCAAUAACCACCAGCAAACCCCAGCUUGAGGAGAGUCACCAGCACGUCAGAAAGAAGAGAGACUUAUGAAAGGAUGUGUUACCAAAAGUUUAUCCUUUCCAGAGUUGCAGCUUUAUAUCUGCUAAACUGCUGGGAUUCUUUCCUCUGGCUUGAACUGGGUUUGAGUCAGACCUUGGAGACACAAACAGCAGAGCAAGUCCAGACACCACUGGAGUCAUAAACAAACCUCCUGCCAGCUGCCCAUCUACUCUUGUGCAUCAUGUUCAAUUGCUUGUGAAUGGAGUCCUCCCUCCUUUGUCCAGGUGGUUUCAACAUUGUGUUGCAAUCCCUGUCGCUGGCUUGUGUGUUUUUAAAAACUUCUUAGAAGAGUAUCUUAACAGUACAUAACGAUAAAAUAUAUGACAAUUUUAUUUGCACGAAUUGUCAUAUCCAUAUAGCAGCAUCUUUUAAUAAUUUUGACUAUGUUUAAAUGAGAUCACCAAGAGAGACUAUAGCUCUGCACAGACAUGUGCAGGCAUGCCUAGGAAUUUGGCUUGCCUGCAGUUUAUCUGUCCCAGUUAAAGGCAGAUGCAGCCUUUUGCUUCCAUGGACAUUGAUGAGCUGGUAGAUGUGCUAACAGGGAGAGAGCUCACACACAGCAACUGGUCCUGAUCUAAUCACACACAUUCUUACAGUGCUGUUUGGCUCCAACUUGCCCAACUGCAGGAAUAUUUUCAGUUUUCCUUCCUACCUCCUUGGACAGGGAUCACCCAAGUUUGGAUGAGAAGGAGCUUCCCUGGAGUACCUGCAAACAUACUGGGAAUGCUGGUGAGUGGCUCAGAAAGCCCGGCAGACUCUUUACAGUUUGUCCCUAGACAUCUUGUUGAAAAGCUUCAGAACAACAGGAGUGGUAUCACAGGCAGAGGAUGGGGAUCAGCCUCUGAGUCUUGCCUACCCUCUUCUACCGCUUUUCUCCUUUCCUACAGCCCAAAGUGAGAAUUCUAAUUUUUGGCAACAGUAUCUCGUUGAUUUUUAUAGUCUGACAUUUUCCUUAUCCCUUAAUUCUUUGCCUGAGUUCUGCUGCUGCACCACACAAGCUCCCUUUAUCGCUGAGCAUUCUCCACUUGUCUCUAUCAGAUGUCAAGCUAUUGAUUCGGAGGUGAUGUCAAGGUCAUUUGGGAUUCUGACACUUUCCUUGAGAGUUCUCCUUGGGAAUGCUUGGAGAUUUUGGUGACUUUUGGCCAGACACAAAUGUCCUAGUUAUGUUCUAUUUCCUCUUGACAGCUGUACCAGGGAACAAUGUUUUAAUGGGAAUAAUUUAAAUUUUUAAUAUGUCGGUCCCUGAAUAAAGAACGUUCAAGACUGAAGAAAUUCUAAACACUAUCAUACUUAAUGCAAUCCUUAUCCUACCCUAUCUCUUCUUUCUCUUGGAUUUUGAAGAAGAUCAAAGGAAUGAUUUAUUCACAGUCUUUGUAAGUGAGCGCUAGCAGUUAUGUUCAAUGUGCUAAUCAUGUGCAGCGGCAAAGCAGAAAUGGAAACUGGACUAUCUGCAAAUGUUGCCUCUUUUUUCCCCCAUGCCUUCUGAUUACUCUGUGGAUGCAGCAUCCCACAAAAUAUGUGAAGUUUACAUAGAGAGCAACAGACAGAACAAGUUUCAACAAGAAUUCCUUUCUUCCUGGCUGAAGUGUACAAACCCAGCAACUGUGCUCCCAACACAAGCUGCAGUUUCCAUGCCUCCUGUACAUGUGCUUGUGUUUUUGUGGGGCUUUUCAAAACAAACUGGGCUGAAUCACACUGCAGGAGCUUCCCAGGCUGUGUCCUUGGCCAAGCCUGGAACAGCAGACUCACACCAAAACCUCUUGCCUGCAGGCAGGUAGGGACAGCAAUUGUUUACUCACUUGCACGAAUCACGAGGGGGUUUUCCCUUCACUUUAUAGUCCCAUAUGGUGAUGCUUCUCCUGUUGGGCACUCUCAGCCUCUUCUCAUGCACCCAAACUGCCUCCAGGAGCGCAUCCUCCAUCCUCUGACCCACCCCAGCCACCUUUGGGCAUGAGAUCCUGCUCACUCCCACUCCUGUUCCCUUCUCUGGAGCCACACUCAUCCUGCCUAUCACACCGUCCUGCACUUCCACCUAAUUUUGUAUCCCGACUUUUAAUUAUGGCAGGUGGGCCAGAAUUUCUACGCGAGAGACAGAAGAAGUGACCCAAGAGAUCUCCAAGAGACACAAAAAGUGUGUCUUGCUCUGACAGUCAGCUGAAGGAUUUGCUCUCCCAGUGCCUGCAUUUCCCAGAACACACCCCAGCCUCUCCAGGCAGUGAUUUUCCCACAUCCCAAACCCCUCACUGUCCAUUUCCAGCCCUCCCAGAAAUGAGGUCCUCGUGGCACUCGUACCCCAGGUACCAAGACAGACAAAACCAGCCAGCAUUGACAGGUUUGGUUUCGUUCCAAGGGGUAAUUUCUGUUCUUUUUCUAACAUCUACAUCUCCAAGGAUUUAAUCUAUACUCCUGUGGGUCUCAGAU